RNAcentral lists this ribosomal RNA (356 nucleotides) under uncultured Polaribacter sp. RNAcentral's name for it is "bacterial SSU rRNA". It matches the Rfam family "Bacterial small subunit ribosomal RNA", at positions 113 to 467 of the family's 1533-position model. The record is from RNAcentral. Lineage: Bacteria; Pseudomonadati; Bacteroidota; Flavobacteriia; Flavobacteriales; Flavobacteriaceae.
ACGCGUAUAGAACCUACCUUUUACAGAGGAAUAGCCUUUAGAAAUGAAGAUUAAUGCCUCAUGGUAUUGUAGACUGGCAUCAGUUUAUAAUUAAAGAUUUAUCGGUAAAAGAUGGCUAUGCGUCCUAUUAGUUAGUUGGUAAGGUAACGGCUUACCAAGACAGCGAUAGGUAGGGGUCCUGAGAGGGAGAUCCCCCACACUGGUACUGAGACACGGACCAGACUCCUACGGGAGGCAGCAGUGAGGAAUAUUGGACAAUGGAGGAGACUCUGAUCCAGCCAUGCCGCGUGUAGGAAGAAUGCCCUAUGGGUUGUAAACUACUUUUAUACAGGAAGAAACACUGGUAUGUAUACCAG